UAGCACUGUUGCCUGAGCCAUUGGUGCUCCCUGGCACUAGCUGGGUUUGAAUGCAGUGCAAUUGGAAUUCCUUAUUUCCACAAGGACUUGGUCUGCUGUAGGCUGUUCCUCCUCACACCUUGGCCUCUGA
RNAcentral lists this small nucleolar RNA (130 nucleotides) under Pteropus vampyrus (large flying fox). Lineage: Eukaryota; Metazoa; Chordata; Mammalia; Chiroptera; Pteropodidae. The record is from RNAcentral.